AUGAGGCUGGGCUUGAAUUGGUCAAUUCCUCUCCCUAUCAGUGACAUUUUUGUUGUCAUGCACAGAAAGGUAUUCCUGCUGACUGUUAAACUUGAAGCAAAACAAAGCAGAAAAAGCUGGUCAUCGGCCAAACACUGUAAUGAGGACAGGAACAGUAGGGUAAUGUCUACCACCAACAGGCAGGGGCACAAGGAUUGGACCCAUUGGUCUACCGGAAUAAUGGAAAUUAUUGUUGGAGUAACUGUCAACACGGCACAUGGCUACGGGAAAUUUGGAUUUUGUAUGGAGAUGUAUAGUCUAUGA
RNAcentral lists this ribosomal RNA (303 nucleotides) under Triticum aestivum (bread wheat). RNAcentral describes it as "partial small subunit ribosomal RNA". Lineage: Eukaryota; Viridiplantae; Streptophyta; Magnoliopsida; Poales; Poaceae. The record is from RNAcentral.